Molecule: ribosomal RNA, 882 nt
Filed under: Levilactobacillus brevis
Lineage: Bacteria; Bacillati; Bacillota; Bacilli; Lactobacillales; Lactobacillaceae
Description: bacterial SSU rRNA
Rfam family: Bacterial small subunit ribosomal RNA
Source: RNAcentral
UGCAGUCGACGAGCUUCCGUUGAAUGACGUGCUUGCACUGAUUUCAACAAUGAAGCGAGUGGCGAACUGGUGAGUAACACGUGGGGAAUCUGCCCAGAAGCAGGGGAUAACACUUGGAAACAGGUGCUAAUACCGUAUAACAACAAAAUCCGCAUGGAUUUUGUUUGAAAGGUGGCUUCGGCUAUCACUUCUGGAUGAUCCCGCGGCGUAUUAGUUAGUUGGUGAGGUAAAGGCCCACCAAGACGAUGAUACGUAGCCGACCUGAGAGGGUAAUCGGCCACAUUGGGACUGAGACACGGCCCAAACUCCUACGGGAGGCAGCAGUAGGGAAUCUUCCACAAUGGACGAAAGUCUGAUGGAGCAAUGCCGCGUGAGUGAAGAAGGGUUUCGGCUCGUAAAACUCUGUUGUUAAAGAAGAACACCUUUGAGAGUAACUGUUCAAGGGUUGACGGUAUUUAACCAGAAAGCCACGGCUAACUACGUGCCAGCAGCCGCGGUAAUACGUAGGUGGCAAGCGUUGUCCGGAUUUAUUGGGCGUAAAGCGAGCGCAGGCGGUUUUUUAAGUCUGAUGUGAAAGCCUUCGGCUUAACCGGAGAAGUGCAUCGGAAACUGGGAGACUUGAGUGCAGAAGAGGACAGUGGAACUCCAUGUGUAGCGGUGGAAUGCGUAGAUAUAUGGAAGAACACCAGUGGCGAAGGCGGCUGUCUAGUCUGUAACUGACGCUGAGGCUCGAAAGCAUGGGUAGCGAACAGGAUUAGAUACCCUGCUAGUCCAUGCCGUAAACGAUGAGUGCUAAGUGUUGCAGGGUUUCCGCCCUUCAGUGCUGCAGCUAACGCAUUAAGCACUCCGCCUGGGGAGUACGACCGCAAGGUUGAAACUCAA